This is a long non-coding RNA of Schistocerca serialis cubense, 563 nucleotides long. RefSeq lists it as uncharacterized. The record is from RefSeq and is a predicted model, not a curated record. NCBI's taxonomy places the organism in Eukaryota, Metazoa, Arthropoda, Insecta, Orthoptera, Acrididae. The transcript has 2 exons.
GGGCGCAUACACCGCAUGUUGACGUGCACCCUGGACUAGGUUUUCAGGCGUUUCCUAGCUCCCCUCGGACCGAAUGGCCGGGUGCGGGUGGCACAGCCUCGCCUGUUGUUAGGCUCCCCACCUCAUCGCAUACGUCAACAUGGGGUCCUCCCCACGGCGGGCGGAAGCCUUAUCACACGACCGUUCGCCGAUUUGCGGGGGAGGAAUGUGGUGUCACCGCCAGACACCACACUUGCUAGGUGGUAGUUUAAAUCGGCCGCGGUCCAUUUAGUACAUGUCGGACCCGCGUGUCGCCACUGUGUAAUCGCAGACCUAGCGCCACCACAAGGCAGGUCUCGUGAUACGAACAAGCACUCGCCCAGUUGGACGGACGACCUAGCUAGCGACUAGAUGUACGAAGCCUUUCUCUCUCAUUAGCCGAGAGACAGAAUAGCCUUCAGCUAAGUUAAUGGCUACGAACUAGCAAGGCGCCAUUAGCCUUACAGUGAUUGUAAUUAAAGUCUCCUGUGUAUAGUCAAGAGCGAUGUACCACAAUCAUUGAUUAAAGAUAAGUAUUAAUCCAG